CUUUAAUUAGAUGUCAAUCAGUUCCAAUUUGAUGUCUUCAAUUAGAUGUCAAUCAGUUCAAAUUUGUAAUUAAAAAAUGCAACGAUUCAUUUUCCUAGAUUUAUUCCAAUAAUGUGCUU
This is a long non-coding RNA of Ipomoea nil (Japanese morning glory), 119 nucleotides long. RefSeq lists it as uncharacterized. Lineage: Eukaryota; Viridiplantae; Streptophyta; Magnoliopsida; Solanales; Convolvulaceae. The record is from RefSeq and is a predicted model, not a curated record. The transcript is spliced from 2 exons.